GCUUGGAACUCUUCUAGCAGAUUACUCAAUUAUUCUGGGUAUAAAUAUACCCUGACAUGUUCUUGCUAUCGUCGUGAUCUGAUUAAAAAUUAGAGUCUAUAAAUUUCACAAGUUUUAAAUCAGAUUCUUCAUAGAUAAACCAUUAAUCCUUAGUAUUUUUCUAAUACUUAAGGAUGGUCUUUACGACCUUUCAGUGGUUCUUAUCU
This 206-nucleotide long non-coding RNA is filed under the name Elaeis guineensis (African oil palm). Its description in RNAcentral is "long non-coding RNA (EGUI_LNC076926)". Lineage: Eukaryota; Viridiplantae; Streptophyta; Magnoliopsida; Arecales; Arecaceae. The record is from RNAcentral.